RNAcentral lists this ribosomal RNA (468 nucleotides) under uncultured bacterium. RNAcentral's name for it is "partial 16S ribosomal RNA". It matches the Rfam family "Bacterial small subunit ribosomal RNA", at positions 28 to 507 of the family's 1533-position model. The record is from RNAcentral.
GACGAACGCUGGCGGCGUGCUUAACACAUGCAAGUCGAACGGAAAGGCCCUGCUUUUGUGGGGUGCUCGAGUGGCGAACGGGUGAGUAACACGUGAGUAACCUGCCCUUGACUUUGGGAUAACUUCAGGAAACUGGGGCUAAUACCGGAUAGGAGCUCCUGCUGCAUGGUGGGGGUUGGAAAGUUUCGGCGGUUGGGGAUGGACUCGCGGCUUAUCAGCUUGUUGGUGGGGUAGUGGCUUACCAAGGCUUUGACGGGUAGCCGGCCUGAGAGGGUGACCGGCCACAUUGGGACUGAGAUACGGCCCAGAAUCCUACGGGAGGCAGCAGUGGGGAAUAUUGCACAAUGGGCGGAAGCCUGAUGCAGCAACGCCGCGUGCGGGAUGACGGCCUUCGGGUUGUAAACCGCUUUCGCCUGUGACGAAGCGUGAGUGACGGUAAUGGGUAAAGAAGCCCCGGCUAACUACGUG